This 293-nucleotide ribosomal RNA is filed under the name uncultured bacterium. RNAcentral's name for it is "partial 16S ribosomal RNA". It matches the Rfam family "Archaeal small subunit ribosomal RNA", at positions 455 to 747 of the family's 1478-position model. The record is from RNAcentral.
GUGUCAGCAGCCGCGGUAACACCAGCGCCACGAGUGGCGAUCGCGAUUAUUGGGCCUAAAGCGUCCGUAGUCGGUUGUGUACAUCCUCUGUGAAAUCGUUGCGCUCAACGUAACGGCAUGCGGAGGACACGGCACAGCUUGAGACCGGGAGGCGUGUGAGGUAUUCCGGGGGGACCGGUAAAAUGGUAUAAUCCCCGGAGGACCACCUGUGGCGAAGGCGUCACACGAGAACGGAUCUGACGAUGAGGGACGAAAGCCAGGGGAGCAAACCGGAUUAGAAACCCGCGUAGUCC